GGGCCCGUAGCCUAGCUGGAUAUGGCGCAGGCCUUCGGAGCCUGAGGGCGGGGGUUCAAAUCCCUCCGGGCCCGCCA
This 77-nucleotide transfer RNA is filed under the name Candidatus Bathyarchaeota archaeon. RNAcentral's name for it is "tRNA-Arg". It matches the Rfam family "tRNA". Rfam says of the family: Transfer RNA (tRNA) molecules are approximately 80 nucleotides in length. Their secondary structure includes four short double-helical elements and three loops (D, anti-codon, and T loops). Lineage: Archaea; Thermoproteati; Candidatus Bathyarchaeota. The record is from RNAcentral. RNAcentral also lists the same sequence under 1 other name.